ACAAGAAAUGUAAACAAUGACAAAAAUGGACAAUAUUUCAACAAAAAUAACAUUUAACAAGUAAUUCGUCAUCUUCUGGAGCCAUCAGUGGAAGUGCAUGGCUUCCCUGGCAUCUUUCUCUUUAGGGAGGUAUAGGAAAUUGAAAUGGCGGAAUCAGUUAAAUUUCAUAGCAUGUUAUUUUGGAGAUUUAGAGGUACUGCGUUGUUCGUAAAGAGUCAAGAUGUACGAAGUGCAGCAUCUAAUAGGAUCCAUUAGGAGCCUUAGUGAAGAAUCUGUCGCUAUCCUGGGAUCCCACAGGAGGAGGAGAGGCAUUCCAGGCAGGGAUAGGUUGGUGCAGGAAAGCAGGAGCAAGGACAUUGAAUUGGCAAAAUCAGGUUGCCGGCGCAGGAAAAGAGGAGGGACGUCGUCAGGUUUAUCAUAGUCAUGCAAGGAUCAGAUGGAGCAGGGAAAACAGAAGCAAGGACAUUAAAAAAAGACAAAAACUAUGAACAUAAUCAGCAUAAGAAAAGGGCAGCACAGCACGAAGCUGGCCUAUCUAUAGUAGGCGUCAUUGGCAUCAAGGAGCUGAACCAGGGAGUCCUCUUCAUCGAGAGAUUCCAUCUCAACAGAAUUGCAGAUGCUUCGCAUUUUCGUAUUAUUAAAUGACAA
Drosophila bipectinata is the source of this 648-nucleotide non-coding RNA. NCBI's taxonomy places the organism in Eukaryota, Metazoa, Arthropoda, Insecta, Diptera, Drosophilidae. The record is from RefSeq and is a predicted model, not a curated record.